UAAGUCAGGCAACGAGCGAGACCCACGCCGACAAUUGCCAGCAGCAUCUCCGGAUGGCUGGGGACAUUGUCGGGACCGCCUCUGCUAAAGGGGAGGAAGGAAUGGGCAACGGUAGGUCAGCAUGCCCCGAAUUAUCCGGGCUACACGCGGGCUACAAUGGACGGGACAAUGGGUAACAACACCGAAAGGUGCAGUCAAUCUCCGAACCCCGCCCUUAGUUAGGAUUGCGGGUUGCAACUCACCCGCAUGAAUCUGGAAUCUGUAGUAAUCGCGUUUCACUAUAGCGCGGUGAAUACGUCCCUGCUCCUUGCACACACCGCCCGUCAAACCAUCCUAGUGGGGUUUGGAUGAGUCCCUGCUCCUUGCACAA
This 370-nucleotide ribosomal RNA is filed under the name uncultured methanogenic archaeon. RNAcentral describes it as "bacterial SSU rRNA". It matches the Rfam family "Archaeal small subunit ribosomal RNA", at positions 1030 to 1400 of the family's 1478-position model. Lineage: Archaea; Methanobacteriati; Methanobacteriota. The record is from RNAcentral.